Molecule: non-coding RNA, 787 nt
Organism: Python bivittatus (Burmese python)
Lineage: Eukaryota; Metazoa; Chordata; Lepidosauria; Squamata; Pythonidae
Source: RefSeq, a predicted model, not a curated record
UGAUACAACCCUAUGUAAUUUAUGUUGCAGAACUAUUGCAUUCCCAAAAAGCUUUUUUCACAGAAUUCUCUGAUGCCCGUUUCUAUAGAGUUGAUGUAACCUUUGACUCCAAGACCGCUCAUCCAAGACUGGAAGUGUUUGAAGCUGGAAAAAGUGUGAUAGACACAGGAGAUAUUUCUAAGUUUUCUAACAGUGAGGACAUUCCUCAUCACAUGGGUUUACUGGCAACACAGGGAUAUUCCAAAGGAAAAUAUUACUGGGAAGUAGAUGUUAGCCAGAAAAAUAAAUGGUACUUAGGAGUUGCAUCUGAAUCAAUUUGUAGAAAAGAGACAACCACAUUGUCUCCUCAAAAUGGGUAUUGGGUCAUAGGGCUUGGAGAUAGGAGAGAUUACUAUGCUUGGACAGACCCAUGGACCCUUCUGGAAGUGACUGGAAAACCUACAAGAAUAGGGAUAUUCCUAGAUAUGUCAGCAGACAAAAGACUUUCUUUUUAUGAUGUCCAUAGCAAAAAGAAACUGUACACAUUUUCCAUCAAUUGUUUUGCAAAGCUGUAUCCUUUCUUCUCUCUUGGAGUAAUGUCUGUAAAGGAAUAUAACCAACCAGUCAACAUUGUUGAAUUUCUUUGAAGAAGAAGAGAUGAUGCAAUGAAAAAAGUACAUAGAAGGGAAAACUCCUUUGAAAAAUGCAUUGUUAAUAUAGUUCUCUGAAAUAUAGUAUGAUUCUUUAUGUUUAUUUGGAAAUAAAUUUGGAAAUAAAUCCACCCUGUUCCUCCUUAAUAGUUGUUUCU